RNAcentral lists this ribosomal RNA (300 nucleotides) under uncultured Chlorobiota bacterium. RNAcentral describes it as "bacterial SSU rRNA". It matches the Rfam family "Bacterial small subunit ribosomal RNA", at positions 114 to 413 of the family's 1533-position model. The record is from RNAcentral. Lineage: Bacteria; Pseudomonadati; Chlorobiota.
CGCGUAGGUAAUCUGCCUUUGGGUCUGACAUAACUCCGAGAAAUCGAAGCUAAUAUCAGAUGAUGCAGCGGCUUGACAUCAAGACAGUUGUUAAAGCUUCGGCGCCCAGAGAUGAGCCUGCGUCCCAUUAGGUAGUUGGCGGAGUAAUAGCCCACCAAGCCCACGAUGGGUAGCUGGUCUGAGAGGAUGAUCAGCCACACUGGAGCUGAGACACGGUCCAGACUCCUACGGGAGGCAGCAGUAAGGAAUAUUGCUCAAUGGCCGAAAGGCUGAAGCAGCAACGCCGCGUGAAGGAUGAAG